This 57-nucleotide transfer RNA is filed under the name Trichobilharzia regenti. It matches the Rfam family "tRNA", at positions 8 to 63 of the family's 71-position model. From Rfam's summary of the family: Transfer RNA (tRNA) molecules are approximately 80 nucleotides in length. Their secondary structure includes four short double-helical elements and three loops (D, anti-codon, and T loops). Further hydrogen bonds mediate the characteristic L-shaped molecular structure. tRNAs have two regions of fundamental functional importance: the anti-codon, which is responsible for specific mRNA codon recognition, and the 3' end, to which the tRNAs corresponding amino acid is attached (by aminoacyl-tRNA synthetases). tRNAs cope with the degeneracy of the genetic code in two manners: having more than one tRNA (with a specific anti-codon) for a particular amino acid; and 'wobble' base-pairing, i.e. permitting non-standard base-pairing at the 3rd anti-codon position. Lineage: Eukaryota; Metazoa; Platyhelminthes; Trematoda; Strigeidida; Schistosomatidae. The record is from Rfam by way of RNAcentral.
UAGUAUAGUGGUAAGUAUCUCCGCCUGUCACAUGGAAGGCCCGGGUUCGAUUCCCGG